This is a long non-coding RNA of Denticeps clupeoides (denticle herring), 1027 nucleotides long. The record is from Ensembl. NCBI's taxonomy places the organism in Eukaryota, Metazoa, Chordata, Actinopteri, Clupeiformes, Denticipitidae.
GUGCAAUCAAAAGACGGUUUUGCGGGUGCGGAUUUGCCGCAUAUUGUGCCCUCUACACAUGUUGAAACUCUUCAAACAUACACGGUAAACGCAGACCACCUCAUGAAUAUUCAAGCCUUCGGUGUAAACCUGAAAAAACGAGGGGGGAAGUAGGCCUUUGGAAACCCGGAUGGCUUCAGUACUGGGGGAAGCUAGCGUGUCUGAGAAAGGGCACGGCAAGCGGUUGUCUAGAUCUAUGCAGUGUUGGAGGUAGUAGCCUAGCGGGUAUGAACCAGAAGACCCAGGUUCAAAUCCCACUUACUACCAUUGUGUCCCUGAGCGGGACACUUAACACAAAUGAGUCUUGAGUUGAAUGUUUUAAUGGGCAAAAAAUACUUAAAUUUAACUCUCCAUUUAUUUAUGUUAUUUAUUUAUUUAUUUAAUUUUUACUGAUCCAAUCUGAACCGUGAGGUUUUUUUUUUUUUUUUUUUAUAUCCAUUGCACCAGUAGCCAAAAGACACUCGAAGGACUCUGAGACCAUGAGAAACAAAAUUUGGAAAGUUUGGAACAUGAUGCCUGGACAAUACCACAAUACAGUGAAGCGUGGUGGCGGCAGCAUCAUGCUUUGGGGAUGUUUUUCAGCUGGAGGAACUGGGAGUCUAGUCAGGAGGAAGGAAAGAUGACUGCAGCAAUGUACAGAGACCUCCUGGAUGACUGUUCCUCUUUCAGCAGGACAAUGACCCUAAAUACACAGCCAAGAUAUCAAAGGUGUGGCGUCAGGACAACUCUGAAUGUGACGAGUUUAUACAGAAUUCAGACAAGAAGAAGGUUACAAGUUCAUCUAAAUCUUCUCUAAAGAGGAAGGUCUUGAGCUGCCGUGUGAAGGUGCUCAGUGACUGAGCUGGAAGUUCAUUCCACCACCGAGGGGCCAAGAUGGAGAAGAGUCUAGAUGAGCGUCUUCCUUUUACCUUCAGAGAUGGAGGGACCAGGCGAGCAGUACUGGAGGCUUGGAGUAUACCAGAUGCAGUGCGAGGUGUAAUAAGGGCUG